CCUACGGGAGGCAGCAGUGGGGAAUCUUCCGCAAUGGGCGAAAGCCUGACGGAGCAACGCCGCGUGAGUGAUGACGGCCUUCGGGUUGUAAAACUCUGUGAUCCGGGACGAAAAGGCAGAGUGCGAAGAACAAACUGCAUUGACGGUACCGGAAAAGCAAGCCACGGCUAACUACGUGCCAGCAGCCGCGGUAAUACGUAGGUGGCAAGCGUUGUCCGGAAUUAUUGGGCGUAAAGCGCGCGCAGGCGGCUUCCCAAGUCCCUCUUAAAAGUGCGGGGCUUAACCCCGUGAUGGGAAGGAAACUGGGAAGCUGGAGUAUCGGAGAGGAAAGUGGAAUUCCUAGUGUAGCGGUGAAAUGCGUAGAGAUUAGGAAGAACACCGGUGGCGAAGGCGACUUUCUGGACGAAAACUGACGCUGAGGCGCGAAAGCGUGGGGAGCAAACAGGAUUAGAUACCCUUGUAGUC
Molecule: ribosomal RNA, 465 nt
Filed under: Clostridioides sp. ZZV14-6044
Lineage: Bacteria; Bacillati; Bacillota; Clostridia; Peptostreptococcales; Peptostreptococcaceae
Also listed under: 1 other name
Description: bacterial SSU rRNA
Rfam family: Bacterial small subunit ribosomal RNA
Source: RNAcentral